UACGUAGGGGGCAAGCGUUGUCCGGAAUCAUUGGGCGUAAAGAGCGUGUAGGCGGCCCGAUAAGUCCGCCGUGAAAGUCCAGGGCUCAACCCUGGAAUGCCGGUGGAAACUGUCGGGCUAGAGUCCGGAAGAGGCGAGUGGAAUUCCUGGUGUAGCGGUGAAAUGCGCAGAUAUCGGGAGGAACACCAGUAGCGAAGGCGGCUCGCUGGGCCAUUCCUGACGCUGAGACGCGAAAGCUAGGGGAGCGAACAGG
RNAcentral lists this ribosomal RNA (253 nucleotides) under uncultured bacterium. RNAcentral describes it as "partial 16S ribosomal RNA". It matches the Rfam family "Bacterial small subunit ribosomal RNA", at positions 524 to 776 of the family's 1533-position model. The record is from RNAcentral.